This 432-nucleotide unclassified non-coding RNA is filed under the name soil metagenome. Its description in RNAcentral is "partial contains 5.8S ribosomal RNA, internal transcribed spacer 2, and large subunit ribosomal RNA". The stretch from base 1 to 120 matches the Rfam family "5.8S ribosomal RNA", at positions 35 to 154 of the family's 154-position model. The record is from RNAcentral.
GAUGAAGAACGUAGCGAAAUGCGAUACGUAAUGUGAAUUGCAGAAUUCAGUGAAUCAUCGAAUCUUUGAACGCAUAUUGCGCUCUCUGGUAUUCCGGAGAGCAUGCUUGUUUGAGUAUCAGUAAACACCUCAACUUCCAUAUCUUUUUUGAAAUGGGAGUUGGACUUGAGUGAUCCCAACGCUUUUCCUCACCGAAAAGUGGCGGGUUACUUGAAAUGCAGGUGCAGCUGGACUUUUCUCUGAGCUAUAAGCAUAUCUAUUUAGUCUGCCUAAAAAACAGAUUAUUACCUUUGCUGCAGCUAACAUAAAGGAGAUUAGUUCUUGUGCUGACUGAUGCAGGAUUCACAAAGACAGCUUCGGCCGACUUUGUAAACUCGAUCUCGAAUCAAGUAAGACUACCCGCUGAACUUAAGCAUAUCAAUAAGCGGAGGA